UACGAAGGGGGCUAGCGUUGCUCGGAAUCACUGGGCGUAAAGGGUGCGUAGGCGGGUCUUUAAGUCCGGGGUGAAAUCCUGGAGCUCAACUCCAGAACUGCCUUUGAUACUGAGGAUCUUGAGUCCGGGAGAGGUGAGUGGAACUGCGAGUGUAGAGGUGAAAUUCGUAGAUAUUCGCAAGAACACCAGUGGCGAAGGCGGCUCACUGGCCCGGUACUGACGCUGAGGCACGAAAGCGUGGGGAGCAAACAGG
Molecule: ribosomal RNA, 253 nt
Filed under: uncultured bacterium
Lineage: Bacteria
Description: partial 16S ribosomal RNA
Rfam family: Bacterial small subunit ribosomal RNA
Source: RNAcentral